CCCAGCCUGGGCUCACUCAAGCCUGAACUCCCAGAAACCCAGCGGGUUCUGCCAUAAUUCUGGGGUGACUCUAUCCUCCUGCCCCUCCCCACCGACCCUCACUAUGAGGCCUCCGCCAAGGAAACUGCAAAACCAAGGGCCUUCUGCAGUCACAUGCGCGGGUCUCGAUGCAGGAUCAUCUGGGAAGCCUCCCUCUCCAGGCGGCCCCUCCUCUGUGGCACCCUUGGCCGUCCAUAGCUCAUUCCCGUUGGAGACGUACUCGUGUGUUCAAGUCCCUGCUGGGUAGUGAAUGUGAGGCAAGGGGCUGGUAGCAUAAGCGGCAUGGGGCGGCUCUCCCAAAUCCCCUCAUGCCGGUCUGGCUACUCCCACCCGCAUAACAAUUCUUGACACUUGGACUCUUCUUGAAAAGUUAUAUUUGUAAAAUAACGUUAGUGCCUUUUGCUGAGCUUCCUUACUCAUCUUCAGACUUCCUCCCAGGUCGCCCCAUUACUACUAAACCUCAAUCCUGUCCCUCAACCAGUUCUCGUAGCUCCUUUCUCCCAGCACUAAACCAACUUCCAACACAAUAAAUCAUUUAUUAUCCUUCUA
Manis pentadactyla (Chinese pangolin) is the source of this 588-nucleotide long non-coding RNA. RefSeq lists it as uncharacterized. The transcript is spliced from 2 exons. The record is from RefSeq and is a predicted model, not a curated record. Lineage: Eukaryota; Metazoa; Chordata; Mammalia; Pholidota; Manidae.